This 751-nucleotide ribosomal RNA is filed under the name uncultured Actinomyces sp. Its description in RNAcentral is "bacterial SSU rRNA". It matches the Rfam family "Bacterial small subunit ribosomal RNA", at positions 28 to 776 of the family's 1533-position model. Lineage: Bacteria; Bacillati; Actinomycetota; Actinomycetes; Actinomycetales; Actinomycetaceae. The record is from RNAcentral.
GACGAACGCUGGCGGCGUGCUUAACACAUGCAAGUCGAACGCUGAAGCCUAGCUUGCUGGGUGGAUGAGUGGCGAACGGGUGAGUAACACGUGAGUAACCUGCCCUCUUCUUUGGGAUAACGCCCGGGAACGGGUGCUAAUACUGGAUAUUCACUGGCCUUCGCAUGGGGGUUGGUGGAAAGGUUUUUUCUGGUGGGGGAUGGGCUCGCGGCCUAUCAGCUUGUUGGUGGGGUGAUGGCCUACCAAGGCUUUGACGGGUAGCCGGCCUGAGAGGGUGACCGGUCACAUUGGGACUGAGAUACGGCCCAGACUCCUACGGGAGGCAGCAGUGGGGAAUAUUGCACAAUGGGCGAAAGCCUGAUGCAGCGACGCCGCGUGAGGGAUGGAGGCCUUCGGGUUGUAAACCUCUUUCGCUCAUGGUCAAGCCGCAACGUUUGGUUGUGGUGAGGGUAGUGGGUAAAGAAGCGCCGGCUAACUACGUGCCAGCAGCCGCGGUAAUACGUAGGGCGCGAGCGUUGUCCGGAAUUAUUGGGCGUAAAGGGCUUGUAGGCGGUUGGUCGCGUCUGCCGUGAAAUCCUCUGGCUUAACUGGGGGCGUGCGGUGGGUACGGGCUGACUUGAGUGCGGUAGGGGAGACUGGAACUCCUGGUGUAGCGGUGGAAUGCGCAGAUAUCAGGAAGAACACCGGUGGCGAAGGCGGGUCUCUGGGCCGUUACUGACGCUGAGGAGCGAAAGCGUGGGGAGCGAACAGG